Molecule: long non-coding RNA, 2180 nt
Organism: Setaria italica (foxtail millet)
Lineage: Eukaryota; Viridiplantae; Streptophyta; Magnoliopsida; Poales; Poaceae
Exons: 4
Source: RefSeq, a predicted model, not a curated record
UUCACUGGAGACUGGAGAGGACGACGACCUCUCCGGUAGUCCGGUUCAGGAUGUCGAUGCCGAUCGAGGUGGUAGAGAGCAAGUGGGUGAUGAACUCGCCGCCCUGCGACACGACAGGCGCUGCAAGUGCGCCUGCACAUCGCCGUACGCCGCGGCGUAGAGGAGCAUCCUAUCUGCACCCAGAGACGCGCCAGCAGUCCAGCACCUCCCAGGGGUGGUCGCCAUGGCGCUGCCAUCGAUCGUGUUGAUCCAGCUAGGAUCCUCUCUCCCUAUCCGUGUGCGUUCCUGCUCCUUGAGGAAGCCUUACAGAUCGAGGCUUCCCGCUCUCUGGAGGAUGCAGCAAGUAUAAAGAUUACCACGAGGGGAGAUUAUUUUUCACCCUGUGUACCCGCCGGCCCCGCUCGUCACUCCCCGUCCGACGUACACGCACGCAAGGUCCGCUCCCUCCCCGCCUGUGACGCCGCUCCCGUCCUCGUCAUCCAUCCAUGCCACCGACGAGCCAAAGAGGAAGCCUACGUAUCGUCGGUGAUUUGGCGGCGUCGCGACAGGCCCUGCGCAGCCGGCGGUCAGCGACGAGCGGCCGAGGGCCCGUAGCUGGGAGUAGGCCGGCGGCCGGCGGCGCGUUGUCGAGGGCCCGAGCGGGGAAGGGGCCGGCAACCGGCGGCGUGCGGCCGAGGGCUCAUCGCCCAGAGUGGGGAGGAGGCAGCCAGCCGGCGGCGCGGAGGACAUCAGCCCCGGCGUGUUCAAUCAGACGGCGACGCCACGCGCACACCCGACCUGGCGGAGGCGGAGAGGCCCCGCCGCGGCUGCGCCUGUGCCGACCGACUGACCGGAUCGCCGGCGGCGACGGCGGCGAAGGAGGAGCAAGGAGGCCGGUAGGAGUGGAAGGCAAGGCGUCCUACUUCUCAUACACAGCCUCCAUCCAUCCCUCCCCUGCGGCGCCAGCACCAUCCCCCGUGCCAUCUCUCAUCUCUCCCUACUCUUCCACCUGAUAGACAUGAAGGUGGCGUGAUGGAGAUGAGAGAUGAACGGGGCAUAUCCCUCUAUUCCUGCAUCUCGAUAGGGAAGAAGAGAAGUAGAAACAGAGGGUUUGAAGAUAUAGAUAGAUGCUGCUGCUGGGGAUUGGAUUUUGAGCCUUCAGUGAUGGAGAUCCAUGGCUGUAGGUUGCUGGAAUGCCUGCAAGCUGCUCGAUGAAAUGCAACUUCAAAGAUUAAAAUAGACUGAUUUCUAUAUUGUUCUUUGCUGCAAUAUUGUUACAAGAAUUUGGCUAUCUCAUUCCCAGGUACCUUUCUCCAUGGUGUGGUGGCAUGCCUGUCUGCUGUGGCCUCACUAGGUUGGUGGAUCGGUAGCAUCCCAAACAAUGAUGAUACGUGCUGCUGAUUUUCUUUUUGUUGAUUCAAGCUUUUAGAUACUAAUAAUCCGUAUCAUCCUUUGUCUAAAGCUGGCUGGAUGCAGAGGGGUUUCCUGGUUUCGACAUAAUGUUUUGUAUGUGUUGGAUUUUAAAGUGCAGUGGCUUCCAAUCAUAGCAGCCUGGAGAACUAAAUGUGCAACAAGAACUUUCCGGGGUUAACCAUAUGUGGAUACUUCCCCACAGGUAAGGCCUAUGUGCUUAAUUUGCAUUACCUUUGCGCAACCUAAUAUAUAUGGAAUCUCAAGGCAACUUCAGUAAUGGACCAUCGUGUUCUGCUUGGAGAUAUGGCAAACACGGUUCAAUGUCAAAUGGACUCGAUGGUGAUGAUUUGUUGAGAAUAUGGAUGAAGGAGGAUGGACGCACGACAUGGUGACCUGCUUGUUGAGGCAUAUAGCUGCUGUCAAUGUGGAUAUAUGUUUCAUUUCCUGGGAAGUGAUGUAGUGAUGAUGCCCUGACUGUUUGACUACAGUUUGGUUGAAAGGAAGGAAAGCACGGCAUGAUCCAUACCAAUUGAAAUUAUGUUUUGUAUUGGAAUAUUUCAGACGCUUGUGGAUGCAUCCUGGAACUUAAGAUGAAGAGUCAGUAUCUGACCGGUUCUUCAUCAGAACAUGUAUGCAUAUCAGGUUAAAACAAAAGGGAUUAUAUUUUGUAGUCUUUGUAAGUUGGUUUUCCACUGAACUAUCCUACAGAUUGUUGCUACUACAGUUAUUGUUUCGGUUCUCAUUGUUAACAUUCUUUUACUGAUUAGUGAUUAGUGAUCUGAUUACCA